RNAcentral lists this transfer RNA (64 nucleotides) under Ovis aries (sheep). It matches the Rfam family "tRNA". From Rfam's summary of the family: Transfer RNA (tRNA) molecules are approximately 80 nucleotides in length. Lineage: Eukaryota; Metazoa; Chordata; Mammalia; Artiodactyla; Bovidae. The record is from Rfam by way of RNAcentral.
UCCCUGGUGGCUCAGUGGUAAAGCAUCUGCCUGCAAUGCAGGAGGCAGGUUUGAUCCCUGGGAG